Molecule: ribosomal RNA, 448 nt
Filed under: uncultured bacterium
Lineage: Bacteria
Description: bacterial SSU rRNA
Rfam family: Bacterial small subunit ribosomal RNA
Source: RNAcentral
UUCCAGACUCCUACGGGAGGCAGCAGUAGGGAAUAUUGCUCAAUGGGGGAAACCCUGAAGCAGCAACGCCGCGUGGAGGAUGAAGGUUUUAGGAUUGUAAACUCCUUUUGUGAGAGAAGAUUAUGACGGUAUCUCACGAAUAAGCACCGGCUAACUCCGUGCCAGCAGCCGCGGUAAUACGGAGGGUGCAAGCGUUACUCGGAAUCACUGGGCGUAAAGAGUGCGCAGGCGGGUAGUCAAGUCAGAUGUGAAAUCCUAUAGCUUAACUAUAGAACUGCAUUUGAAACUGAUUAUCUAGAGUGUGGGAGAGGUAGGUGGAAUUCUUGGUGUAGGGGUAAAAUCCGUAGAGAUCAAGAGGAAUACUCAUUGCGAAGGCGACCUACUGGAACAUUACUGACGCUCAUGCACGAAAGCUUGGGGAGCAAACAGGAUUAGAUACCCUCGUAUU